RNAcentral lists this ribosomal RNA (617 nucleotides) under uncultured bacterium. RNAcentral's name for it is "bacterial SSU rRNA". It matches the Rfam family "Bacterial small subunit ribosomal RNA", at positions 338 to 944 of the family's 1533-position model. The record is from RNAcentral.
CCUACGGGAGGCAGCAGUGGGGAAUUUUGGACAAUGGGCGCAAGCCUGAUCCAGCAAUGCCGCGUGAGUGAAGAAGGCCUUCGGGUUGUAAAGCUCUUUUGUCAGGGAAGAAACGGUGUGGGCUAAUAUCCCGCACUAAUGACGGUACCUGAAGAAUAAGCACCGGCUAACUACGUGCCAGCAGCCGCGGUAAUACGUAGGGUGCAAGCGUUAAUCGGAAUUACUGGGCGUAAAGCGUGCGCAGGCGGUUUUGUAAGUUUGUCGUGAAACUCCCCGGGCUCAACCUGGGAAUGGCGAUGAAGACUGCAAGGCUAGAAUCUGGCAGAGGGGGGUAGAAUUCCACGUGUAGCAGUGAAAUGCGUAGAGAUGUGGAGGAACACCGAUGGCGAAGGCAGCCCCCUGGGUCAAGAUUGACGCUCAUGCACGAAAGCGUGGGGAGCAAACAGGAUUAGACUACCCUGGUAGUCCACGCCCUAAACGAUGUCUACUAGUUGUCGGGUUUUAAUUAACUUGGUAACGCAGCUAACGCGUGAAGUAGACCGCUGGGGAGUCGGUCGCAAGAUUAAAACCANAAUGAGUAGAGCGNGAGAGNGACGACGACGACGACGAGGAGGAGG